Molecule: ribosomal RNA, 253 nt
Filed under: uncultured bacterium
Lineage: Bacteria
Description: partial 16S ribosomal RNA
Rfam family: Bacterial small subunit ribosomal RNA
Source: RNAcentral
UACGUAGGGUGCAAGCGUUAAUCGGAAUUACUGGGCGUAAAGCGUGCGCAGGCGGUUUUGUAAGUCUGACGUGAAAUCCCCGGGCUCAACCUGGGAAUUGCGUUGGAGACUGCAAGGCUAGAAUCUGGCAGAGGGGGGUAGAAUUCCACGUGUAGCAGUGAAAUGCGUAGAGAUGUGGAGGGACACCGAUGGCGAAGGCAGCCCCCUGGGUCAAGAUUGACGCUCAUGCACGAAAGCGUGGGGAGCAAACAGG